AUAGGAUUGCCAAUUGGGCAUUGACAGUCCGUCAAGAUCGGUACGUGCUAUGUCUUCUCUCAGGGAGAGUGAUUAGUCUCGAGUCAUUGGUGUGUGUGACAUCAAGACAAGUACGUAGGUGCUCAGUAGAGAAUGAGUUCACUGAACGCGAUUAACGAAGAGUUCUCAUACUCAUGUCACAUGAGAACUCAUGGUUGGGAUAAUGCAAAGUAGUCCUUUGACCUGAGGCAUCACAGUUGUCUUGUGGUUAAGUCCUUAAUCUUUGAUUAUGUCAAAGUCACCCUAUCGGGGUGUCCACGGCAUCGUUGGGGUUAAGCCACUUAGUCAUGGAGGCAAGUGAAUGCGCAACAAGGGAUCUCUAACCUUCAAAUUGUUUGAGGGAGAAUACUCUAUGAUAUGAUUCAGAAUCUCUGGCCAGAGUAUGAAUGAGAUUUAGGAAUGCAUUUCAAAUCACAUUCAAGGUAAUCAUAUAAGCACACGAAUCACAUUGGAUAGUAGACAUGAAUAAAUAAACUAUCAAACCAAACAAUGUGGUCAAGAGUAUUAGAUUAGAGAAAGACCGUAUUGCAUUUGUAAUCCCAAACUGAAUAGGUUUUCUCUACCUCUUCUGAUUAGCUUGGGUAACCAUGAUAUGCUGCAAGGUGUCACUCAUGGUUUGUGGAAGCCUUAUACGUGUGUAAUCACUAAAGGGAGAAUUGAAAGUAAGUUUCAAUUCACAAUCGAUUUGAAAUGGUUUUAAUCGCCCACUGCCUCGCUAAAAGGAACCUAAUGGAUCGCACACCAUAAGAGGUGGAGAUUGGAGAUUAAACGGAGAUGAGUAAGAAUGAUUAAAUGGUUUAAUCAUUUAUUUAUGGCAAGGAUUAAUUAAUAUGUUAAUUAAUCAAACGAAUAAGUUCGUUAAAGACCUCGGGAUAGUUUUUGGACAUUAAGGCCCAAUGGGCUUCGAACGUCAAGCCCAUUGACUUAAGUUGUAUGACAACUUAAUGAAUAAUGAUUCACAAAGGCCUAAUUAGCCCAAAAAUACCCUAGGGCCGGCCAUGAUGCUAAGGGUAGUGAACUUGGACUUAUUUACAAGUUUGCCACUCAAAUGAAUAAAGGUAUAAAUAUGACUUUAUAGCCUAAAAUUCAUUAGGGUUUGUUUUGGAGAAAAUUGGAGAGAACAUGUCUCUCCAUUUCUCUCUAAAGAGGCCGGCCACCUUGGGGGGGUGCUUCUUGCAAUCCCACUACUCCAAGGUCACUCAUUUCUUCUCCAAUCUCUCCUUGGUGAAGAGACUUAGAGGUUCCCUAUUUUGGGAACUUGGAGAAACCUAUUCAUCUAUCCAUAUCCAUAGAUUUAAUAUGCAAGGAAUGAAGGCCCCCCUCUUUGGGUGAUUAGCCUUUGCUUAUGCAAAGAGGAAUCUACAAAGGAAUAAAUUUCAACUCACUUUGUUUUGAGUUGAUUAAUGGUUCACCAAUCUACUAGGCUUUGAAUUUCUUGGUUAAUGUUUUGUUUUUAAGUGCAUGCUAGCAUGAUUCCGCCUUUAAUUGUUAAUUGCAUGCUAUAUGAUGUUGCUUAAAUGAACAUGUUUUCACAAAAAUAUUCCUUCAAGUGGUAUCAGAGCCUAGGUCUAGUAGUUGGUGAAUCCUUUUGGGUUUUGUAGUUCAUAGUUUGUGAUUUAAAAGUUGUAAUAUGUUACAAGCUUUAUUCUUGUUUCUUUGAAUGUAAAUUUUGUUAGAAAAUUUGCCAUCUCAAAUGUUAUAGAUGUAGUUCAUAUGAGCAUGAAUAUUGGAGCUAAAAUUUGGUGCCAUGACUUUGGGGAUUUUCGGCCAAAUCCAAAGGGUGGAUUUUUGGGUUCUUGUUUGACUUGUUAAAAGUGUUUUCAAGUGACUUUUGGAACCCCUAUGUACCCUAGUUUGGUUAGAUGUUAUUUCCCUAAAGUUUGAAUGGUUUUGGAAUGUUUUUGGGUGAAAAAUGUUCAUGGAAAAUUUUGAGUUUUUUUUUUCAUGAGUGUUCUUCAUUGUUCUUGACAUUUUUGCCAAGAACAAAAAGGUUUGUGUUUUGAUUCAAAGUUUUGAUUUAUUUCAUAAAGUUUAUGUUUUAUGUUUUUCAAAUGUUUUAAUGCAUUAGACAUUUGUAUGAAAGGUGAUGGAAAUGGUGAUGGGUGUGUAAGGAUUAAUUCCCUUUCACACACACCACUUGCACCACUUGCAUGCUUUAUGUCAAAACUCACAAAUCAACACACACAUCACUCUAUCCUCUUCCAAAACCGGCCACCCCCUAGUGGGGGUACUUUUGGGUCUUUUAUGCAAUUACAUAAAGUUUUGAUACUUUUGUGUAUUUGCACUUUGGCCCAAAAGUUUACGUUUUUACGUUUAGGUCCAAAAACGCUAAAGGACAAAUUGUUUUGCUCCUUUAAUGAAGUUUUUGCAUUGAUUAAAUUUUGGGUUCUAUUGUAAUUACAUGAAGUAGUGGACUUUUGUGUCUUUACAAAGUGACCCCAAAAGUUUUGCAAUAUAGCCCAAAAGUUGAGGUUAAUUGCUUUAUGGCCCAAAAGUUGUGGUUAUUGCAUAUUGGCCCAAAUAAGGUAGAGAACAAAAUUGUUUUGUCUCUUUAAAUGAGAAUUGGAUUUUCAUUUUGUUUUAGCUCCAUUUAAAUCAAUUUUAUGGAUACAAAAACCAAAUGAAAAUGUUGCAUUCAAUUUAAUUAGUUAAAGUGUUAAUUAAUUAAAGGGUGAUUAUGAACCUAAGCCUAAUAUAAUUGAGCUAUGUGAAAGGCCGUUUCAAAUUUGUUUGAACCAUGGGAAUGUGUAGAUUAAUUUUGGUUGUAAUUUGAUUUGAUCAAAUGUUGUAAAAGGGCUUAAGCUCUUCUUUACUUUAAAGUAAUUUGUUUUAUGCAAAUGUUGUAAUGAGCAUAAGCUCACCUUUACUUUGAAGUACUUCUUUCUUGCUUUAUAUGAUAUGCAUGAAAAUGAAGUAGUUGGGUCCAACGCCCCUAAGACAACACGCCUUAAUGUGAUUAAACGCGUAACUAAAAUCAAUCACCAUUCCUAGACCGAGAUUCAACACAAGGCUCGUGUUGAAUCUAAACAAAGGUUCAUAAUCAUCCUAAGGCCCUAAGGCAACUAUAUAGUCCAUCAAAUGAAUGCAAAGGUUAUGUUAGUAGUAUCAUAUACUCUUGCUUUAAAAACCGUUUUAUAAGCAUAGUGGGAGUAUUAUAUACAACUAAAAACAAUCAUAUGGACCAAUAGUUGUAAUAGGACCAAAGUUGUUUUAAUAGAGAUUAAAUAUAUGUUUAUGUGAUGAGACCUAAAACCCUCAACCAAACCAUUAUUAAGUUGAUAAGCGUGAGAGUGCUUAGAACACUCUUUCGUAGGCCUUCCACCGUGGUGGGAUCCAAUCGUUUAUGACUUGUACACCGGCUUCACCCUAUCAUGGGGGAGUACAAAGUGCAUGCUUAUACUCAGGAGGAAUCCAUACACAUAUGAUGAGGUGAGUGUAGGCAACGAGGAUGGCCGACAUCGUAUCAUCGUGAGGCUAUUCUUGAACCCCUUCACGCACUAAGCAUGGUGGGAAUGACUUAACUAAGUGCAAUGGAGCCAAUAUCAUAUCAUUGUGAGGUUACAUUCUCUAGAGGCCAAAUAAGAUGGGUACUUGCAUUAGUUGCAAAUGAGUAAGCGUACUCUCUCAUUAUUAUUAAUGCUAGCCAAUAUCAUAUCAUUGUGAGAUGGGCUUGGUAAUAGUGAGCCUCCCAUAACCUACUAGGAGUUUCAUCCAAAACUCUCGAAUUCCAAUGAGGGAUAUGGAAUUUGCCAAAAAUAGUGGGUGGUGCUAUUUGAUUUAAAGACCCGAAUCAAAUGGCUUAAAAUCAAUCCAUUUAUAUUCGUUAUGUAUUUGUUUACCAAUAUAUUUGCAAACGCUAUCCAAACACUUGACAAAUAAAACCGAAUGUUUUAGUUUCCGGACUUAGUACCACAAUCCCAAAGAAUGUCUUAUAAAGAUUGCAUAUGUAUCUAAGUAGUCUCAUCCUCACAAUCUUCCUAAUGAUAAUGUAUCAUUGGAAGAACAUGUUAGAAAAGUCUAUCAUGAAGAGGACAACACAAACAACCAAUGCUUAAUCCUUUGUUAAAUGAACAAAGGAACUUACGAAGAUUAGCAUAAUGACAAGGACACUUUUAGUGUUAUUAGUUCUUCACUUACAAAUCGUUGUAUGAAGAAAUAAUAGUUGCUUUGAACAACCCUUAGUCAAUGCAAACACUAGUGCUUGUUUCUUUGUUAAUGAACAAGGAACUUGAGAAGAAAGCACAAAGGCAUGGACACUUUAUGUGCCAUGAUUCUUCACUUACAAAUUGUUGUAUGAAGAAAUGAGAGUUGCCUUGUACAACUCUUGAAAGUUUGUAAUUAUGUUUAGAACAUAAUGGUUGGUUGACAAAAAUAGUCCAUUAACAUGGACUUAUGAUGAUUUUGAAUCAUUGAGUGUUGAAGUGAUAAACCACUUAAUGAGACGGAAACUAGGCAAGGACUUCACUUUUGUGUCCCUAUCCUUAUGGUUCACUAAGUUUAUUGUAAACUAUAUAGUGAACAAUAACCACAUGCUCUCCAAAAUGUUUGAUGUGUAUAACACAAUUGAAAUAAGUUUCAAGAGAGAUAGUGGGAUUUAGGGACCAUGACUAUUGUAGUCAAAGGAGAAGUCAAAUGAAGAAGAUUAAAAUUAACUCCUAGGGAACAAACUUUCUUUAUGAAAGGAUGGACAUUGGAAAGGGUAUUUGCAAGAAAUGUCUUGCAAGUGUCAAGAACACACCUUUCGAAGGUGUUGUAAAUUGUUCUUGAAAAGUUCAAAACAGUUGGUUCUUCUACUUGAAUGCUUGAUUACGUAUUAGUAACUAUGUUUUACAAUCGUUGUAAAAGUGUGGCUAAUAAGAAGUGGAAGAUUAAUGAGAGAAGAGAAAGUACUUCACAUUCGAAACGUGAAUCAAAUAUAGAUCUCUACGAAAGCAGAUGGUACUUACUUCCUCAUAUGAACUACCAAAGAAAUUGGAAAACAUAGAUUGUCUUUAUAUUCCAAUUUUAAGGAACUAAAUUCCGUCACUAUAGUAGAGAUGGAUGAAUGUUUUGUUUGACAAAACGUUUGUUCUUUAUUAAUCAAUGAUUGGAUUAUAGUAAUCUAAUUGAUUGUCUCUAUAGUAGAGAUGAUAUGGUAGUGUUAACUGUUUAGAAAAUAAUGAUGCUUAAAACCCAAAAGGUUGCAAGGUAGUGACUAAUCCCAACUAAAGUUGUGAUACCUCUAAAACAUAAAUUACGAGUUGGUCAUAGAUGGACGCUUUGGAUCGUUAGAUCCGGAUCCAAUACCUUCUUGUUAAAAUUGUAUAGAGGCGAAAUGUUCGAAUCUUUAUUCUUUUGGAAAGAAGAAAGAAUCACAAAGUUGUUGAGGUUAAUUCACUUAGAUGUUAGUGGCACUUGUCCACAACAUAAUACUACUCAUGUUGGAUGACAUUCACCGAAGAUCACUCUCGGUUGGACUAUAGUUUAUUUUGAAUAAACACAAGUUCGCAUACUUUGCAAAAGGUUUCAAAGAAUUCAAGAAAUGUAAGUUGAUGAGUAAGACGUCUAAAGUAUUUACCUCCUUAGAUUUGAUCCAAGAUAAGGUAACACUUUAGAACAGUUUCCUUGAAAGAUAUCAAGGAAAUAAGCAUCAUAAGAUAAUGUAUUUCUCCAUUAGGAGAAGAACGAACUCGAAUAAGAUUUAGUUCGUUAGAUGUUAUCUGUUACCCAUAUAUAGGAUAUAUACUUCUAAAACAAUAUGAUUGUAAAUUAGAAGAUCUUCCAAUAUUUUCAUGACUCCAUAAGAUGUAGUUGGAAAGAAAGACAAAUCUCAAGCAUGUUAAGAUUUGGGGUUGUGUGCUAAUAAGCAAUAUUUGUUUGAUAAACAAUCUUGUAGGAUAUCCUUAAAUUAACUUUUGGAUAUCGCUUCUAUAAACCAACUAACAAAUGUUGUUUUGUUGGGUAGUUCAUUGUAAUCCUACAAUGUGAUUUGCCUAAGAGCAAAUGAACGAGAGAUAGAACUCAAAGAAUAGGUUCUUUGAGAGACAAGAUAGUAAUCAACAAAUAUAACAACCUAGUUCCUAUACCACAAGCUCCAAGGUAGUCGAGAAGGAUUUAUAAACCGUCUCAGUUGAAUGGUUUGAACUUUAUGACUAUGUCAUAGAGUUGCACCUCUUAAUUCGAAAGAAAUAAGAAUGAAAAUCCUUAUGACUACAUUGAGUGUAUAUAUGAUAUAUACUCAAGGAAAUGGUAAAGUACCAUUUGACUCGAAAUAAUGAAACCUUCAUAGCUAAUUGGUAGCUUAAGGUGACUACAAUCAAAGAGAUUGGUUGACUUUGAAGGAACCAAUUUUGACGUAGUCUUAGUUUCAAUUAAUUCGAAGAAUGCUAGCUACAACUAAAUGGUGAUUCAAUGUUUGGACAUAAUUUGGGUUUUUCGAAACCAUUAUUAAGAUAGUCUUGAUAAUAUAUGUCUAAAACUAUGAAUCACAAGAAUUGUAAGUUGUAGAGAUCCAUCCAUCAUGGAUCUUAGCUAGCUAGUGGGAGCUAUAAGCGUCUUAUGAGAGAAAGGUCAAAUCGUUUGCUUUCUCAUAAAGAUGUAAAUGAAUCUUUUGUUUACUAGGUUUACAAAAGAUUAGUGGGAGUUAAUCAUAUUCCUAAAUUUAUAUAUAUAUAUAUAAAUAUAUAUGUGAUAUAUAUGAAUGUAUAUAUGAUAUAUUAAUUUUGGAAAUGAAAAGAAUAUUUCUUCGUUAAAGUUAUGACUUUAAGCAUUCUAUAACGAUAUAAUGUAUAUGGGAGACAUAGUCUAUAAACAUGGGAUGGAAAUCUAUAAUGAUAGAUUUUAGGAUAUAAUUGGAUUAUAUCAAGCCCUAAAUAAUAGACAAGAGUUGCUAGGAAGUUUCUCAUAUGAUGAUAAACUUCAAUUAGAAGGAUGACUCUAGUGUGACUAGCAAGUUGCCCUUCUCAAAGGGAACGUACCCUUUGACUCCCAAAGAAAUAAUGCGUAAAUAGAAUCCUUUAUGCAUACGCAUAAAGGUGAUUUAUGUAUUUCAUAUUGUAUGAAAAACAUUGAUAUGAGUUGUACCUAGAACGGUACAAGACGAUAUCAGUGCAAGCCCAGGAUCAGAACCAUGGCAACUGUCAAGUGAGUCCUUAAGUAUUUAAGAAAUACUAAAGGAAAGAUUCCUCAAAGAAUGAGGAAGAAUUAGAGUAACGUAAUGGAAGCGUAAAUGUAUUAGAUUAUGAAUCUAAUCCAUCAUUGGAUGUUUCUUCAUUAUGAAUGAAGAGAUAAACAGAUAUCUCUUUAUUAUGACUAAAGAGAUAUUUGGAUGGAAACAUUAAAGUAAUGACUUUAGUGUGUUCCAUUAUGAAUGCAAGGUAUAUUGCCAUAUAGAAGUUUGCAACAAUGUUGUUUGGAUGGGAAAGUUCAUUUAUGAACUCUCUAUUCGGUUCCAACCAGAAAGUGUAUCUAGUGUAUCGACACUAUGACACUAAUGGGGCGAUAGCUCAAGCCAGGGAAUCAAGGUCUCAUCAAGGUCCGAACUCAAAUGAGAGACUGAACCACAUGAUUGAGAAUCAUGUAUAAUGGUGACGUCGAUAUUCUCAAGGUUGCUUCUAUGGAUAACAUAUAGAUAUCCAUUGUCUAGGCCUACUACUCAGCCAUUUAUGAAAUGACUACAGAAGAGGUAUCAUCACUGAUGACCAAGCUGAUUGGCUCUAGUGCAAGUGGGAGAUUGUUGGAAAUGUGCCCUAAAACCAAUCAUGUGAUGAUACUUUACGGACAUUUCACAUGUUAAACUAAUCUAGUUUAAUAUAAAGGGCAAAGAUUAUUGUUUGAGCCGUCUCAUAUAAAUGUUAUAUGCUUAAACGAUAAAGUCCAAGGAAUAUGUGAUUGGGAGAAUGCAAUCUAAUGAAGUUAGAUUCAUGAGACCAUUCUUUCGUAGACACAUCCUAAAUGUUCCUGAUCAUAGGAUUGCCAAUUGGGCAUUGACAGUCCGUCAAGAUCGGUACGUGCUAUGUCUUCUCUCAGGGAGAGUGAUUAGUCUCGAGUCAUUGGUGUGUGUGACAUCAAGACAAGUACGUAGGUGCUCAGUAGAGAAUGAGUUCACUGAACGCGAUUAACGAAGAGUUCUCAUACUCAUGUCACAUGAGAACUCAUGGUUGGGAUAAUGCAAAGUAGUCCUUUGACCUGAGGCAUCACAGUUGUCUUGUGGUUAAGUCCUUAAUCUUUGAUUAUGUCAAAGUCACCCU
RNAcentral lists this long non-coding RNA (8267 nucleotides) under Malus domestica (apple). Its description in RNAcentral is "long non-coding RNA (MDOM_LNC003801)". Lineage: Eukaryota; Viridiplantae; Streptophyta; Magnoliopsida; Rosales; Rosaceae. The record is from RNAcentral.